RNAcentral lists this ribosomal RNA (354 nucleotides) under uncultured bacterium. RNAcentral describes it as "bacterial SSU rRNA". It matches the Rfam family "Bacterial small subunit ribosomal RNA", at positions 22 to 356 of the family's 1533-position model. The record is from RNAcentral.
GCUCAGGAUGAACGCUGGCGGCGUGCUUAACACAUGCAAGUCGAACGAAGCACUCUAUUUGAUUUUCUUCGGGAAUGAAGAUUUUGUGACUGAGUGGCGGACGGGUGAGUAACGCGUGGGUAACCUGCCUCAUACAGGGGGAUAACAGUUGGAAACGACUGCUAAUACCGCAUAAGCGCACAGGAUCGCAUGAUCCGGUGUGAAAAACUCCGGUGGUAUGAGAUGGACCCGCGUCUGAUUAGCCAGUUGGCAGGGUAACGGCCUACCAAAGCGACGAUCAGUAGCCGACCUGAGAGGGUGACCGGCCACAUUGGGACUGAGACACGGCCCAAACUCCUACGGGAGGCAGCAGUA